GCUGCGAUAGCUCAGAUGGUAGAGCGUCACUUUGGUAUAGUGAAGGUCGCGGGUUCGAUCCCCGCUCGUAGCUC
This 74-nucleotide transfer RNA is filed under the name Arthrobacter phage Mimi. RNAcentral describes it as "tRNA-Thr". It matches the Rfam family "tRNA". Rfam says of the family: Transfer RNA (tRNA) molecules are approximately 80 nucleotides in length. Their secondary structure includes four short double-helical elements and three loops (D, anti-codon, and T loops). Further hydrogen bonds mediate the characteristic L-shaped molecular structure. tRNAs have two regions of fundamental functional importance: the anti-codon, which is responsible for specific mRNA codon recognition, and the 3' end, to which the tRNAs corresponding amino acid is attached (by aminoacyl-tRNA synthetases). tRNAs cope with the degeneracy of the genetic code in two manners: having more than one tRNA (with a specific anti-codon) for a particular amino acid; and 'wobble' base-pairing, i.e. permitting non-standard base-pairing at the 3rd anti-codon position. RNAcentral also lists the same sequence under 4 other names. The record is from RNAcentral. Lineage: Duplodnaviria; Heunggongvirae; Uroviricota; Caudoviricetes.